Molecule: transfer RNA, 73 nt
Filed under: Neotoma lepida (desert woodrat)
Lineage: Eukaryota; Metazoa; Chordata; Mammalia; Rodentia; Cricetidae
Also listed under: 1 other name
Rfam family: tRNA
About the family: Transfer RNA (tRNA) molecules are approximately 80 nucleotides in length. Their secondary structure includes four short double-helical elements and three loops (D, anti-codon, and T loops). Further hydrogen bonds mediate the characteristic L-shaped molecular structure. tRNAs have two regions of fundamental functional importance: the anti-codon, which is responsible for specific mRNA codon recognition, and the 3' end, to which the tRNAs corresponding amino acid is attached (by aminoacyl-tRNA synthetases). tRNAs cope with the degeneracy of the genetic code in two manners: having more than one tRNA (with a specific anti-codon) for a particular amino acid; and 'wobble' base-pairing, i.e. permitting non-standard base-pairing at the 3rd anti-codon position.
Source: Rfam by way of RNAcentral
GCCUGGAUAGCUCAAUCGGUAGAGCAUCAGACUUUUAAUCUGAGGGUUCAGGGUUCAAGUCCCUGUUCAGGCA